CCAAAACAAAAUCUAAAAGUUAUCUUCCUCCCCCGAAAUCUUAUCCUUCCCUCUCGUUAUCUCGUCGCGGCUCUCCCUUCAUGGCUGAUACUUCUCCUUCGACCACAACCCACUUGAAUCGUGCACAAAUCUCUCUCUCUCCUUCCUCUUUACCUAGGUCUACUUCACAGCUCUCUACCCUCGGUGGCUGUUACUCGUUCAUCGACCGUAAUCCACCGUCACAACUCUCUCUCUCUGUGCCCUAAAUUGGCUGUUGUUCCAUCUCUGUUGCUACUGUUGCCCCAU
RNAcentral lists this long non-coding RNA (285 nucleotides) under Citrus sinensis (sweet orange). RNAcentral's name for it is "long non-coding RNA (CSIN_LNC000179)". Lineage: Eukaryota; Viridiplantae; Streptophyta; Magnoliopsida; Sapindales; Rutaceae. The record is from RNAcentral.